This 776-nucleotide ribosomal RNA is filed under the name uncultured Neocallimastigales. RNAcentral's name for it is "partial large subunit ribosomal RNA". It matches the Rfam family "Eukaryotic large subunit ribosomal RNA", at positions 23 to 646 of the family's 3401-position model. Lineage: Eukaryota; Fungi; Neocallimastigomycota; Neocallimastigomycetes; Neocallimastigales. The record is from RNAcentral.
AGAGAGAGACAUGCGCGCAUAUCAAUAAGCGGAGGAAAAGAAACUAACUAGGAUUCCCUCAGUAACGGCGAGUGAAGCGGGAAGAGCUCAAAUUUGAAAUCUUCAAGGGUUCUACCUUUACGAAUUGUAGUUUAAAGAAGUGUUUUCUGUUGAGGUUUUGGUAAAAGUUCUUUGGAAUCGGACAUCAUAGAGGGUGAGAAUCCCGUAUUUGACCAUUACUUUCAACUUUGUGAUACACUUUCAAAGAGUCGGAUUGUUUGGGAAUGCAGUCCAAAAUGGGUGGUAAAUUUCAUCUAAAGCUAAAUAUUGGCGAGAGACCGAUAGCGAACAAGUACCGUGAGGGAAAGAUGAAAAGAACUUUGAAAAGAGAGUUAAACAGUACGUGAAAUUGUCAAAAGGGAAGCGUUUGACACCAGUGUUGUUUUCUCGAAAAUCAAUUAAAAAAGGCAGGGAUUUUGUGUUGUAUUGACUUUAUCAGCUUUCUGCACUCUUUUCUUGUCUUUUUUAAUGCACUUUUCGUUUAACAAGUCAACAUCAAUUUCUUUUGUUGUAAAAGGGUCAUUGGAAGGUGGCUUUCUUUUCGGAGAAAGUGUUUAUAGCCUUUGGCCUCUGCAAUCGGAGAGAUUGAGGUCUGCAGCGUAGAUCCUUCGGGGUUAGAUACAUUUGUGCUAAGUUAUAGCCUUUCAUAGACAACUUGUUGACUAUGAUCAGUCAUGUAGCUUACUCGCUUAUGCUAUUUUACCUACGCUUAGGAUGUUGAUGUGAUACUGCGAGCA